This 76-nucleotide transfer RNA is filed under the name Campylobacter coli. Its description in RNAcentral is "tRNA-Met". It matches the Rfam family "tRNA". From Rfam's summary of the family: Transfer RNA (tRNA) molecules are approximately 80 nucleotides in length. Their secondary structure includes four short double-helical elements and three loops (D, anti-codon, and T loops). Lineage: Bacteria; Pseudomonadati; Campylobacterota; Epsilonproteobacteria; Campylobacterales; Campylobacteraceae. The record is from RNAcentral. RNAcentral also lists the same sequence under 2 other names.
CGCGAAGUAGAGCAGUGGUUAGCUCAUCGGGCUCAUAACCCGAAGGUCGGGAGUUCAAAUCUCCCCUUCGCAACCA